RNAcentral lists this ribosomal RNA (747 nucleotides) under uncultured Moryella sp. RNAcentral's name for it is "bacterial SSU rRNA". It matches the Rfam family "Bacterial small subunit ribosomal RNA", at positions 28 to 776 of the family's 1533-position model. The record is from RNAcentral. Lineage: Bacteria; Bacillati; Bacillota; Clostridia; Lachnospirales; Lachnospiraceae.
GAUGAACGCUGGCGGCGUGCUUAACACAUGCAAGUCGAACGAGAAAUGUAGACGGAAACCUUCGGGCGGAAGCCUUCAUUUCGAGUGGCGGACGGGUGAGUAACGCGUGGGUAACCUGCCUCAUACAGGGGGAUAACAGUUGGAAACGACUGUUAAUACCGCAUAAGACCACAGCAUCGCAUGAUGCGGGGGUAAAAACUCCGGUGGUAUGAGAUGGACCCGCGUUCGAUUAGCCAGUUGGCGGGGUAACGGCCCACCAAAGCGACGAUCGAUAGCCGAUCUGAGGGGAUGACCGGCCACAUUGGGACUGAGACACGGCCCAAACUCCUACGGGAGGCAGCAGUGGGGAAUAUUGCACAAUGGGGGAAACCCUGAUGCAGCGACGCCGCGUGAGUGAAGAAGUACUUCGGUAUGUAAAGCUCUAUCAGCAGGGAAGAAAAUGACGGUACCUGAGUAAGAAGCCCCGGCUAACUACGUGCCAGCAGCCGCGGUAAUACGUAGGGGGCAAGCGUUAUCCGGAUUUACUGGGUGUAAAGGGAGCGCAGACGGUUGCGCAAGUCUGAAGUGAAAUCCCGAGGCUUAACCACGGGACUGCUUUGGAAACUGUGCGACUUGAGUAUCGGAGGGGCAGGCGGAAUUCCUAGUGUAGCGGUGAAAUGCGUAGAUAUUAGGAAGAACACCGGUGGCGAAGGCGGCCUGCUGGACGAAAACUGACGUUGAGGCUCGAAGGCGUGGGGAGCAAACAGG